CUUAUACUCCCUUAGUCCUGAAUUACUUGUCGCAUAAAUGAAUAGAAAUGUAUGUAUCUAGAACUAAAAAUACGUCUAGAUACAUCCAUUUCUGCGACAGUAAUUCCGGACGGAGGGAGUAUUUG
Molecule: non-coding RNA, 125 nt
Organism: Triticum aestivum (bread wheat)
Lineage: Eukaryota; Viridiplantae; Streptophyta; Magnoliopsida; Poales; Poaceae
Source: Rfam